AUGCUUGCUUCAACAGCUCAUAUACUGAAAUUGGAAUGAUACAGAGAUUAACAUGGCCUCUGCACAAGGAUGACAGGCAAAUUCUUAAAGUGUUCUAUAUUAGA
This 104-nucleotide small nuclear RNA is filed under the name Catagonus wagneri (Chacoan peccary). Lineage: Eukaryota; Metazoa; Chordata; Mammalia; Artiodactyla; Tayassuidae. The record is from RNAcentral.